This is a long non-coding RNA of Acanthopagrus latus (yellowfin seabream), 680 nucleotides long. RefSeq lists it as uncharacterized. The record is from RefSeq and is a predicted model, not a curated record. Lineage: Eukaryota; Metazoa; Chordata; Actinopteri; Spariformes; Sparidae. The transcript has 3 exons.
GAUAUUAACCCAUAUGUCCCACUGUAUGUAUGUAUAUAUGUGUAUGUGUGUCUGUGUAGGGGAGAGUGACCUGGUUGGUCUCCAUCCAGCGCGUGGCCUCCUGUAUGACAUUAAACUCGACGAAGGCGAAUCCUCGGCUCUGACCUGGACACCGCCCAGCGCCAUGGUUUCUAAAAGAGUUUGUUGCCAAGGAUACGGAUCACGAUAACCUGGGGAAACCUUUGGAUGGACAGCCGCUUGGUGCACUCUUUUCUCCUCCUGAGAGAAGAGGUCCAGACACUCCCUCAGCGUGACCUCGCCGCCAGAGCUCCUCUUGGGGAUGGGCAGCGACAGAUCACAGAACACAUCGAAUGUGUUGGAGUAGUGGGAGCACACCGAGCAGUGCAGCGAGCUCCGCAGCUGGCCCGAGAACAGGUCUGUGAGAGACGGGUGGCGAGAAUCAUCAGUGGAUCUACAGAUCAGACCGACGGGUCACCACGACUGGAUUUGCUUUCCUCACCUACUAUUCUGCUGUCAUCUCUCUCCAAGUGCUUCUUCCACAUGGCUGCCGCCUCCUCGGAAAUCCUAGGCGAGGACAAAAGAUGAGAAAACAACUGAAGUCACAUCAAGGUUGUAAAGGCUUCAAUAUUAAAUCUUUUCCACACAAACACACACACACACACACACACACACACACACAC